RNAcentral lists this ribosomal RNA (253 nucleotides) under uncultured bacterium. Its description in RNAcentral is "partial 16S ribosomal RNA". It matches the Rfam family "Bacterial small subunit ribosomal RNA", at positions 524 to 776 of the family's 1533-position model. The record is from RNAcentral.
UGCGUAGGUGGCGAGCGUUGCCCGGAUUUACUGGGCGUAAAGGGAGCGUAGGCGGGCUUUUAAGUGAGAUGUGAAAUGCUCGGGCUCAACUUGAGUGCUGCAUUUCAAACUGGAAGUCUAGAGUGCAGGAGAGGAGAAUGGAAUUCCUAGUGUAGCGGUGAAAUGCGUAGAGAUUAGGAAGAACACCAGUGGCGAAGGCGAUUCUCUGGACUGUAACUGACGCUGAGGCUCGAAAGCGUGGGGAGCAAACAGG